CAAUGAACCAACCGAAAUGUAGACCAAAGGGGGCCCAGUGACGUGGACAGAUUACGUCCUCAGGAAUUGGUUACUUUGUGUUGACCGUGAACUGACCGUUAACUGUAAAUGUUUUGCCGUCAUGGUGAAACAAGCGGGGGCUAAUGGUAUUUUGGCAUCUGGGAUGAGGUUUACAGCUGGGUUGGGCAUCCUCUUCAUCAAAACCAUGAAAACUUGUCUGGUUUGGGCGGGCGUUUGGCAGCUCCUCCCCUGGGCUUCAGACGGGGUCAGAAGUGAAUUACGAGUCAGACCAAUAUGCGAAUCGAGCGACCUCCCCUUCCCCUUGCAUGCAAUGAUGUGGUGAACCUCCUCUCGAUCAUUCUAAUUCAGUGCUCUCCAGAGAGCAAUUUCGUCGAUAAACGGGAUGGUCCGGAAUCCCCAAAAUCUCCAAUAGCAAAGUCUCCAUCCCAGAACUCUCUUCGUAAUGCUAGUCUUGUUGCCAGAAGGAAAAUGUUUGUUGUGUCCCAGGUUGGAAGGUCCAGUUUCCAGAAGCUUUUGGAGCCAAAUUAAGCCCCCACUCAGAGAUCUGCAAUUACUCCUUAUAGAAUUAUUCUUGGUAAUAUAAAAGACAAGGUAUGUUUAUUUUCUUUGAAUAUGUCAAGCAAGUUGUUAGAUAGCUAAGAUUGAUUGAUUUAUAUUUUUGUGAUACUGGUUUGGGAUGAUACCACACCACCUUUUUUCUGGAACAGCUUGUUUGUGAAGCAUCCCUAUGGUUAUUCACUUUUAUUUUCUUUGCUCCUCAGAUAUGUUUCCAAAUGAUACCAAACUUACUAAGAAUGCUUUUCCUCUUUAAAUUGAGACAGUUCUUGGAGACUCCUCCCUGUUCAUUGCUUACAUCAGAUUUGUAUUAUCACUUUUCCAGCCAAGAAAAUUGGUAUCAGAGCCCAGCAAUCAUGUGGAUCAGGGAUCCUAGCUGAUGGUGGGCUUGAUGGUUUGAUCCGAAGAGUUGCUACCUUUGGGAUGGUAUUAAUGAAAGCUCGACUUGCGUCAGGUGUGCUUUUAUUUUAUUGUAGAAGCUAGACGUUGCUACCCCAGGCUGAGCUUGGCUUCCUCAACAUAGGAAGCUGCCCCUCAAGAAGAAAGAGCUCUACUGGAAUUGGACAUCUUCGGCAGUUCCAUGGGUGUUUGCAUGGACUCAAACCAGAUUUGUCUUCCAGCUCUGCUUGGAGUUAAACCCCUUGUUGAUCUUUUUGUGAGAGCAUCAAACACACCAGCCAUAAAGGUGUAUGAGAAGGCCAUCCCUUGGAUGAGAAAUUAUAAUGGUGUAUAGGUGCUAUAUUUUUACAUUUAGACUCAUGAAGAUCUAUCAGUGAUUGUCAUCCCUUCCAAAGGUUUCUUUUAGGGUAUGUUUCUGUGGAAUCUAACAAAAGAACAGAAUUGUUUUCAACACUCAAGUUCAACAAUGUGAUGCUUAGAAGCACAAAAUUGGUUCAUAGUUCAAGUGGAGACUUGGAAUGAUUUAUUGGGAAAUUCUUUACAUUCUUAGAAAGGCUUUUAUUUCGAGCAGUAAAACAUUA
Molecule: long non-coding RNA, 1556 nt
Organism: Rosa chinensis
Lineage: Eukaryota; Viridiplantae; Streptophyta; Magnoliopsida; Rosales; Rosaceae
Exons: 4
Source: RefSeq, a predicted model, not a curated record